GACGUAGGGCGCGAGCGUUGUCCGGAUUUAUUGGGCGUAAAGAGCUCGUAGGCGGCUUGUCGCGUCGUCCGUGAAAACUUGGGGCUCAACCCCAAGCUUGCGGUCGAUACGGGCAGGCUAGAGUUCGGUAGGGGAGACUGGAAUUCCUGGUGUAGCGGUGAAAUGCGCAGAUAUCAGGAGGAACACCGGUGGCGAAGGCGGGUCUCUGGGCCGAUACUGACGCUGAGGAGCGAAAGCGUGGGGAGCGAACGGG
This 253-nucleotide ribosomal RNA is filed under the name uncultured bacterium. RNAcentral describes it as "partial 16S ribosomal RNA". It matches the Rfam family "Bacterial small subunit ribosomal RNA", at positions 524 to 776 of the family's 1533-position model. The record is from RNAcentral.